This is an RNA transcript of Pyrus x bretschneideri (Chinese white pear), 940 nucleotides long. RefSeq lists it as uncharacterized. The record is from RefSeq and is a predicted model, not a curated record. The transcript is spliced from 3 exons. Lineage: Eukaryota; Viridiplantae; Streptophyta; Magnoliopsida; Rosales; Rosaceae.
GUGUUGCCGGUCACAAAAAGUUUGGUGGUGAAUAUGCGCUGGGGUGUGAAUCUUCCUGCAAAGUUUGGUAAAACGAUGCCUUAUUUGACAGUGAAUAAGAUUGGUAUUGAGAGAAUUGAGGAGGUGAAGGUUGAGGAGGAGAAGAGUUCUGAGGGCAAUGUGGGUGACAUGGAGUUGUUAAAGGGGAUGUGCUUUUGGAUGAAAAGGGAUUUGGAGGUCUUGGAGAAGGAAAAUAGGGAGAUGAAGCAGAGGUUGGAGGAUAUGAAGUUUGGAGUUUCUUCAAAGCGUUUUCAUAGUGAGAAGAAUGAUGUUGUUGGGAAGAGAUUGCUGCCGCCUUCGAGUGAGACUUCUGGGGGGUUCGAACAGUGGAGGAACAAGAAGAAGGUCAGAGAAGAGAAUGCACAAAUGGAACAGAAAAAGCCUACCAAUCAUGCUGUUGAUGUGGAGUCUGAAUUGCAGAGAGCUAUCAAGGCCGCUACCACUUAGCAAGGAGGUGGAGAAGCUAACUAAUCUCAGCUAUGGAGGAAGAGGUAGAACCGUAGAAGCAUAGUAGUUUAUCCUGCAAGAACAAUUUCAAACCAAAUCAAUAUCCAUAUUCUCUUUCUCUACAAAAAGUAAUAUAAAAUUAGUGGGAGAGUGGAAGUUCUAAAGUUCUUAGGAAGAAGUUCUCAAGACUUGGAGGUGCCUUAGUGCUCGGGAAAGCUAAGGAAUGAGACUUUGCUAGCUUUGGAGUCGAGGUAGGAGAGUGAUGGAUUAAUAAUUGAUUAGAAUUAUAUAGGUUAAUAAUCUUUUACUUACAUUGAUAACGUUUAUAUGCCAUGUCUCGAUUCUCGAUUAUUGAUUGAGUGAUUUUCUUUCGCAAUAUUAUGAAUCAUGAAUUUGACACCCGUGAUGAAUAUCGUUGUGAUGAUUUAUGUAGUUAAUUAUUUAAGCUUCCAUA